This 615-nucleotide ribosomal RNA is filed under the name Cobunus birmanicus. Its description in RNAcentral is "eukaryotic LSU rRNA". It matches the Rfam family "Eukaryotic large subunit ribosomal RNA", at positions 417 to 780 of the family's 3401-position model. Lineage: Eukaryota; Metazoa; Arthropoda; Insecta; Hymenoptera; Ichneumonidae. The record is from RNAcentral.
AAACCUGAGAAACCCGAAAGAUCGAAUGGGGAGAUUCAUCGUCAGCGAUUACGGUACGUGUGCGGCUCGCGAUGUCGCGAGACUUCGGUCUCGCGGUACGCGUCCGCAUGUUUUUUAUUGCUGGAAUCGUCGGCGUGCACUUCUCCCCUAGUAGGACGUCGCGACCCGUUGGGUGUCGGUCUACGGCACGGUAGGUAGCCUGUCACGUGUGGCGCUUCACGGCGUUCACGCGGGGCAGACCUCCGUUCGCCCGACCGGCUGCCCGGCGGUACUCGCAAGGUAUCUGGCCGCAGACAUACGAACUGCGUCCGGCCCGUCGCAAGCGCGGCAAGUGUCUCCCGGCUGUACGGAUCCAAUGCCGUCACCGGGCCUUGCCAGCUGUUGGUUGACGGUGUCCUAGGACUGGCUAACAGAUACCGGUCGGCGACGCUACUGCUUUGGGUACUUUCAGGACCCGUCUUGAAACACGGACCAAGGAGUCUAACAUGUGCGCGAGUCAUUGGGAGCUAUUAAGCCUAAAGGCGCAAUGAAAGUGAAGAUCGGCCUCGCGCCGAUCGAGGGAGGAUGGGCCGCGUCACGAUGCGGUCCCGCACUCCCGGGGCGUCUCGUUCUCAU